GAUGAAGAACGUAGCAAAAUGCGAUAAGUAACGUGAAUUGCAGAAUUCAGUGAAUCAUCGAAUCUUUGAACGCACAUUGCGCCCGCUGGUAUUCCGGCGGGCAUGCCUGUUCGAGCGUCAUUUCAACCCUCAAACCCCCCGGGUUUGGUGUUGGGGAUCGGCUCUGCCUCACGGCGGUGCCGCCCCCGAAAUACAUUGGCGGUCUCGCUGCAGCCUCCAUUGCGUAGUAGCUAACACCUCGCAACUGGAACGCGGCGCGGCCAUGCCGUAAAACCCCAACUUCUGAAUGUUGACCUCGGAUCAGGUAGGAAUACCCGCUGAACUUAAGCAUAUCAAUAAGCGGAGGA
Molecule: unclassified non-coding RNA, 347 nt
Filed under: soil metagenome
Description: partial contains 5.8S ribosomal RNA, internal transcribed spacer 2, and large subunit ribosomal RNA
Rfam family: 5.8S ribosomal RNA (bases 1-120)
Source: RNAcentral